Molecule: non-coding RNA, 132 nt
Filed under: unclassified sequences
Description: RT-16 RNA
Rfam family: RT-16 RNA
About the family: candidate division DUSEL4 (Archaea). Nearby to self-splicing intron genes
Source: Rfam by way of RNAcentral
CUAGCAAACCGUUUUUACGAAGUCAGCUAGUUAUACGCUUAUUUACUAUGGGAGUUUACUCUUAUAAAAUGCAAUCACGACACCUAAUGUGUGAAGUGGUGGUGAAAACAAGAAGUAAAUAAGCUAACUUGG